UCGGCCAGCCAUAGCUCCAAGAAUACGCGGAGGAGGUGGCCCGGGUCGGCGUCGGCGCCGUCCGGCGCGGGCCACGGGCCCACUUCCAAGUGCGUCUGCGCGCCGGCCACCCACGUCGGGUCCUUCAAGUGCUGCUUCCACCGCACCAACUCCCAGGGCCACAGCCAGGGCCAGGGAAGCCGCCCUUCUUCGCCCCCUUCACCGGCCGCGGUCAACGCGGUGCUGCGGCACCCGGCCUCACCGUCCUCGUCCUCCGGCACCGUCGCGACCCAGUGA
This 276-nucleotide ribosomal RNA is filed under the name Triticum aestivum (bread wheat). Its description in RNAcentral is "partial small subunit ribosomal RNA". The record is from RNAcentral. Lineage: Eukaryota; Viridiplantae; Streptophyta; Magnoliopsida; Poales; Poaceae.